This 363-nucleotide long non-coding RNA is filed under the name Felis catus (domestic cat). RNAcentral describes it as "lncRNA (ENSFCAG00000051641.1)". Lineage: Eukaryota; Metazoa; Chordata; Mammalia; Carnivora; Felidae. The record is from RNAcentral.
AGAACAGAACUCAUCUCCUGUGACUGCCGGUGGCUGCUUCAUUUGCUACCACAGGAGUCAACUGAACUUCUGUUGAAGGUUAUCUCCGUUGUGAGGAUACGUAACAUAAUUCUUCGGCACUUUGCACCUUAAAUCCAUGGACCACGUGGAGUGACAUCCUUUCAAAAUAUCAUGUGAAUAUCUGCUUCACAGCCUUUGAGCUAAUUAUUUCUGGGAGAUAUUUCUGCAUCUGGAGAAGGAGUCAGUUAUUAUAAUUGAGUGCACCGCAAAACAAAAGUUGUGCUGUAAGUACAUCAAGGGCAGGGGAUCACAUCUUCUCGGUGUUUUAUCAACUUCCAUAAAUCACUUCGGGCCCGUGGCUUC